AAGCAUGCUCUCACAUUCAGGAUUAGGAAAGGAUUUAUAGGCUGAAGCAAUUAAUACAGUCUGUUUCUUGGUUAAUAGAUCUCAAUCUACAGCUAUUGAGUGCAAAACACCUUUUGAGAUCUGGUCCAGUUCACCUGCUAAUUACUCUCAGCUGAGAGUAUUUGGUUGCCCUGCUUAUGCUCAUGUGAGAGAUGGUAAGCUUGAGAAAAGGGUAAAAAAAUGCAUAUUUCUAGGGUAUGC
RNAcentral lists this unclassified non-coding RNA (240 nucleotides) under Hevea brasiliensis (rubber tree). Lineage: Eukaryota; Viridiplantae; Streptophyta; Magnoliopsida; Malpighiales; Euphorbiaceae. The record is from RNAcentral.